GCGUUGUAGUCCAACGGUUAGGAUAAUUGCCUUCCAAGCAAUAGACCGGGUUCGACUCCUGGCAAACGCA
RNAcentral lists this transfer RNA (70 nucleotides) under Ipomoea nil (Japanese morning glory). It matches the Rfam family "tRNA". Rfam says of the family: Transfer RNA (tRNA) molecules are approximately 80 nucleotides in length. Their secondary structure includes four short double-helical elements and three loops (D, anti-codon, and T loops). Lineage: Eukaryota; Viridiplantae; Streptophyta; Magnoliopsida; Solanales; Convolvulaceae. The record is from Rfam by way of RNAcentral.